GUUAACCUGGGAUGUGCGACAACCCUGUAAUUUUGAACCUACAUUUGUUUAAACGGGAUUCCUAUAUUUCUGCGCAAUAUGUCAGGCCUCCGAUAUGCAGUGGACGACAGAAAAGCAGAUGCGGUUGCCCACCUGGCUGCGGCUAGGACUCAAAAUACAGGACCGGCAUUUUGGGUGAACU
Molecule: non-coding RNA, 181 nt
Filed under: Candidatus Mediterraneibacter merdipullorum
Lineage: Bacteria; Bacillati; Bacillota; Clostridia; Lachnospirales; Lachnospiraceae
Description: 6S RNA
Rfam family: 6S / SsrS RNA
About the family: E. coli 6S RNA was the first non coding RNA to be sequenced, but its function was unknown until recently. It consists of 184 nucleotides that fold into an extended hairpin structure with a large single-stranded internal bulge. The 6S RNA specifically associates with RNA polymerase holoenzyme containing the sigma70 specificity factor.
Source: RNAcentral